Molecule: ribosomal RNA, 461 nt
Filed under: uncultured bacterium
Lineage: Bacteria
Description: bacterial SSU rRNA
Rfam family: Bacterial small subunit ribosomal RNA
Source: RNAcentral
UGAACGCUGGCGGCGUGCUUAACACAUGCAAGUCGAACGAACCUUCGGGUUAGUGGCGGACGGGUGAGUAACGCGUGGGAAUCUGCCCUCAGGAGGGGGAUAACGGCUGGAAACGGCCGCUAAUACCCCAUAUGCCGAGAGGUGAAAUGAAUUUCGCCUGAGGAUGAGCCCGCGUCUGAUUAGCUAGUUGGUGGGGUAAAGGCCUACCAAGGCGACGAUCAGUAGCUGGUCUGAGAGGAUGAUCAGCCACACUGGGACUGAGACACGGCCCAGACUCCUACGGGAGGCAGCAGUGGGGAAUUUUCCGCAAUGGGCGAAAGCCUGACGGAGCAACGCCGCGUGAGGGAUGAAGGCCUCUGGGCUGUAAACCUCUUUUCUCAAGGAAGAAGAUCCGACGGUACUUGAGGAAUAAGCCACGGCUAAUUCCGUGCCAGCAGCCGCGGUAAUCUGAUGGCGCGAGG